CACCGCGGUUAAACGGGAGACCCAAGUUGAUAGACAACGGCGUAAAGCGUGGUUAAAGUAUUAAUUAAAUAGGGUCAAAUAGCUUCUAAGCAGUCAAAUACUAUCGAAGCCACAAAGCACACUCACGAAAGUAACCCUAGUACCCCUGACCCCACGAAAGCCAUAACA
Molecule: ribosomal RNA, 168 nt
Filed under: Coelorinchus kishinouyei (Mugura grenadier)
Lineage: Eukaryota; Metazoa; Chordata; Actinopteri; Gadiformes; Macrouridae
Description: partial 12S ribosomal RNA
Source: RNAcentral